ACUUAAUGAACCAACGCGUCCGUUACUAUGCUGGUUGCUCGGCUACCUUGUAGAGGUAGGAGGACGCAGGAAGUUAUUUUUCACCUCAGAAGCGCUUGCUCAGUAGCAAGCGGUAAAUUGCCGCUUAGGCCGGCCAGAGUGGCUCGCUUGUGGGCAUGCUGGCCUCAUAUGGGAGCAUAUAGCAACACCUUCAGUUGUGCGUCAAGAAUUGAGCAUAGCAAGUCUGGUAUGGAGGCCUGGUUAUGAAAAGGGUAAAUAGUUAUAUAGUAAUAUGCUCUAAAACUCGCUGGCGACAAAGAAACUUUGCUGCCCCGUUUCCAAUCGUCCACAUGGCUCGGAGAACUUAUUCAAAUAAGAUGUUAAAAGGAUGUGGUCCAACAACACAGCAAGAGAGGCAGUCCGUGUGUGGGAGAUCUUCACCUACUUCUUCGAAGAGGGUGUUGUUCCCUGAAGUCAUCUUGAGUGACCUAGAACUCUGGAACAAGUCCUCGUCCUGGGUCCAGGCCUUCGAAGGUGUCCACACUCUACACAGAGGUCAGCGUCCACUGCUUCUGUCAGAAAUACGUGAGAAAAGAUGGUAGGUAUUUUACUACAUUGCAUCUUGUUGUAUAUUAUAUGUUAUUGUAAAUAACCUGUUAUACAAAUUUAAAACAAUAUUACAAAGAUGUUUUUUUGCAGACAUUGGCUGUGAAGUUGGUAAGUAUAUAGAAUAUGUAUUUGUCUUGUAGUCCAAGUAACAUUUACAAGUAUGUAAAUAUUUGUAUAUUUUUCCAUUUGUUUGCUGGCAAAUAUUUGAAACUUGUUAGCUGACAUGGCUAAUUGAGUGACUGUCAGUGACUGACAAAGAUCUUGUGUAAUUCUACUAUUUUAACUCUCAACAGUAAGUUGAGACUGAGUUUCUAUUUUUUUAUAGAUUUUUUGGGGUCAGGCCCUAAGCGACUGUUUAUCAAAUGUUAUUG
Long non-coding RNA from Oncorhynchus tshawytscha (Chinook salmon), 959 nucleotides. The record is from Ensembl. Lineage: Eukaryota; Metazoa; Chordata; Actinopteri; Salmoniformes; Salmonidae.